AUGGAACAAUGUAGGCAAGGGAAGUCGGCAAAACGGAUCCGUAACUUCGGGAAAAGGAUUGGCUCUGAGGACUGGGCUCGGGGGUCCCGGCCCCGAACCCGUCGGCUGUCGGCGGAUUGCUCGAGCUGCUCACGCGGCGAGAGCGGGUCGCCGCGUGCCGGCCGGGGGACGGACCGGGAAUCGCCCCUUCGGGGGCUUUCCCCGAGCAUGAAACAGUCGACUCAGAACUGGUACGGACAAGGGGAAUCCGACUGUUUAAUUAAAACAAAGCAUUGUGAUGGUCCUCGCGGAUCCUGA
Molecule: ribosomal RNA, 297 nt
Filed under: Triticum aestivum (bread wheat)
Lineage: Eukaryota; Viridiplantae; Streptophyta; Magnoliopsida; Poales; Poaceae
Description: partial small subunit ribosomal RNA
Rfam family: Eukaryotic large subunit ribosomal RNA
Source: RNAcentral